GUGGGGAAUAUUGGACAAUGGGGGGAACCCUGAUCCAGCCAUGCCGCGUGUGUGAAGAAGGCCUUUUGGUUGUAAAGCACUUUAAGCGAGGAGGAGGCUACUCUAGUUAAUACCUAGGGAUAGUGGACGUUACUCGCAGAAUAAGCACCGGCUAACUCUGUGCCAGCAGCCGCGGUAAUACAGAGGGUGCAAGCGUUAAUCGGAUUUACUGGGCGUAAAGCGCGCGUAGGUGGCCAAUUAAGUCAAAUGUGAAAUCCCCGAGCUUAACUUGGGAAUUGCAUUCGAUACUGGUUGGCUAGAGUAUGGGAGAGGAUGGUAGAAUUCCAGGUGUAGCGGUGAAAUGCGUAGAGAUCUGGAGGAAUACCGAUGGCGAAGGCAGCCAUCUGGCCUAAUACUGACACUGAGGUGCGAAAGCAUGGGGAGCAAACAGGAUUAGAUACCCGUGUAGUCC
This 451-nucleotide ribosomal RNA is filed under the name uncultured bacterium. Its description in RNAcentral is "partial 16S ribosomal RNA". It matches the Rfam family "Bacterial small subunit ribosomal RNA", at positions 354 to 796 of the family's 1533-position model. The record is from RNAcentral.